GACAGAGCACCUCGCCCAGGUGACUCCAGGCUGCCCUCUGGCAGGCCGAGCGGGCGCCCUCCUUCCAGCUCAGACUGGUCUCUUCUUGGAAGAGGAAGAUGAGGCAGCAGGUGCCCAGGCCUGCUGCCUCCCAUCCCUCCCGACACCACCCCCAAGCAUUCUGAGCAGAGGAUGGGCUGGGCCUUUGAGUCCCCCAGAUCCCAGAAGGAAGAUGCAGCACCUUUUCGGGCCCUGCCUCGGGACUGCGUACUCCACUCUGCACCUCAGGGCCACCUGGCUCACGCCAGGGCAUCCUUCCUUCCGGUCCCCACCUGGGCCAAGUGCACACGCUCCUGCCCAGCCUUGGUAGCGAGGCCCUCCAGCAACUUUCCAGCGACUCGUUGCCUGUUGCAGCAGCUGCUGUCUCAGGCUUCAGCCUCCUGCCUGUGGGAAGGAAGAGCUCCUCCCCUGUCCCCUACGUUGCAGUAACUGCAGCCUGCAG
RNAcentral lists this long non-coding RNA (481 nucleotides) under Homo sapiens (human). Its description in RNAcentral is "HSALNT0256317". The record is from RNAcentral. Lineage: Eukaryota; Metazoa; Chordata; Mammalia; Primates; Hominidae.